UGUGUAUGGAUGCAAAGAUCAAUUUUGACUCUAAUUCAGCCUAUCGCCAAAAGAAAAUCUUUGAUCUACAGGACUGGACCCAGGAAGAUGAAAGGGACAAAGAUGCUGCUAAGGCAAAUCUCAACUACAUUGGUCUCGAUGGAAAUAUAGGCUGCCUAGGUACCAUGUGUUUUUAUGUUAGAAUUGGAUUCACUAAGUUUAAUUUGGAUUUACUAAGUUUAAUUUAUUUUCUCUAUGUUUGUUGCUUAUACAAAUCAUUUUCCCCUAUAUAGUAAAUGGUGCUGGUUUGGCUAUGGCCACAAUGGAUAUAAUAAAACUUCAUGGAGGGACUCCAGCCAACUUCCUUGAUGUUGGUGGUGGUGCUACAGUCCAUCAAGUAACAGAAGCAUUUAAGCUUAUCACUUCAGAUAAAAAGGUACUGGCUAUUCUGGUCAACAUUUUUGGAGGAAUCAUGCGCUGUGAUGUUAUUGCACAGGGUAUAGUCAUGGCAGUAAAAGACUUGGAAAUUAAAAUACCUGUUGUGGUACGGUUACAAGGUACACGAGUCGAUGAUGCUAAGGCACUGAUAGCGGACAGUGGACUUAAAAUACUUGCUUGUGAUGACUUGGAUGAAGCUGCUAGAAUGGUUGUAAAGCUCUCUGAAAUAGUGACCUUAGCGAAGCAAGCACAUGUGGAUGUGAAAUUUCAGUUGCCAAUAUGAUCUGAAAACC
This 710-nucleotide small RNA is filed under the name Pongo abelii (Sumatran orangutan). RNAcentral describes it as "retained intron". Lineage: Eukaryota; Metazoa; Chordata; Mammalia; Primates; Hominidae. The record is from RNAcentral.